UACAGAGGGGGCAAGCGUUAUUCGGAAUUAUUGGGCGUAAAGGGCGCGUAGGCGGCCUGGCAAGUGGAAGGUGAAAUCCCUCGGCUUAACCGAGGAACUGCCCUCCAAACUGCUUGGCUUGAGUCCGGGAGAGGUGAGUGGAAUUCCCAGUGUAGCGGUGAAAUGCGUAGAUAUCGGGAGGAACACCAGUGGCGAAGGCGGUUGCCUGGAGCUUUGCUGACGCUGAGGCGCGAAAGCGUGGGGAGCGAUCCGG
Molecule: ribosomal RNA, 253 nt
Filed under: uncultured bacterium
Lineage: Bacteria
Description: partial 16S ribosomal RNA
Rfam family: Bacterial small subunit ribosomal RNA
Source: RNAcentral